This 1406-nucleotide ribosomal RNA is filed under the name Adelphobates castaneoticus (Brazil-nut poison frog). RNAcentral's name for it is "partial 16S ribosomal RNA". It matches the Rfam family "Bacterial large subunit ribosomal RNA", at positions 23 to 2570 of the family's 2925-position model. The record is from RNAcentral. Lineage: Eukaryota; Metazoa; Chordata; Amphibia; Anura; Dendrobatidae.
GCUAAACAUCUAGCCCAAGCCCCCCCAUAUGCCCCCGCCCCUUCUUCCUAUUCCAUACCAAAACAUUUUCUAAGUUUAGUAAAGGCGAUUAAAAAACCUCUUGGAGCCAUAAAAAUAGUACCGCAAGGGAAAGAUGAAAUAAAAAUGAAACAACUCUUAAGCAUAAAAAAGUAAAGCUUAACUCUUGUACCUUUUGCAUCAUGGUUUAACUAGUCUAACCAAGCAAAAUGAUCUUUAGUUUGAACCCCCGAACCUAAGCGAGCUACCUUAAAACAGCUCCACUGGAGCGCACCCGUCUCUGUUGCAAAAGAGUGGGAAGAUUUUAUAGUAGAGGUGACAGACCUAACGAGCUUAGCGAUAGCUGGUUACCCUAAAAAAGGAUUUUAGUCCUACUUAAAAGUUUAAAUUGACCUGUUAAUCUUAUCUUUUAAAGCUAUUCAAACAAGGUACAGCCUGUUUGAAAGAGGAUACAACCUUAAUUAUUGGGUCAACAUGUAAUAUUUUCAGGAAAGUGGGCCUAAAAGCAGCCAUCUUUAAUAAAAGCGUCAAAGCUUCUCUGCCCUAAAAAUUUAAUCCCAUUUUUACCCUCAACCCCUUACUUUCUCUACAGGGUAACUCUAUACCUCUAUAGAAGUUUUUAUGUUAAAACUAGUAAUAAGAAUAUCUAUUCUCUUCUAACGCAAGCUUAUAUCAGCCAGGAUACCCCCCUGAUAAUUAACGUUUUUAAUAAAAAAGUAGUAACAAAACAAGAAAAACCUACUAAAAUUUACGUUUACCUAACACUAGAGCGUUACAAGAAAGAUUAAAAGAAAAAGAAGGAACUCGGCAAACAUUAGUCUCGCCUGUUUACCAAAAACAUCGCCUCUUGCUUAAAAAUAAGAGGUACAACCUGCCCAGUGACAUUGUUUAACGGCCGCGGUACCCUAACCGUGCGAAGGUAGCGUAAUCACUUGUUCUUUAAUUGAGGACUAGUAUGAAUGGCUUAACGAAGACUAUACUGUCUCCUUUUUCUAAUCAAUGAAACUAAUCUCCCCGUGAAGAAGCGGGGAUAAAUUUAUAAGACGAGAAGACCCUAUGGAGCUUUAAACAACCGAAAUAUCUGCUUUUCAACUCUAUUUACCUCCCGAGAAUUAAAUUUACUCUAAGCACUUUAAUUUCUAGUUUUAGGUUGGGGUGACCACGGAGCAAAAAUUAACCUCCACGCUGAAAUUUGAGCCCACUUCUUAGCUUUAAAAUCACAAUUUUAAACAUCAACAUAUUGACUUCCAUUGACCCAAUUUUUUGACCAACGAACCAAGUUACCCUAGGGAUAACAGCGCAAUCUACUUCAAGAGUUCUUAUCGACAAGUAGGCUUACGACCUCGAUGUUGGAUCAGGGUAUCCUAGUGGUGCAGCCGCUACUGAAG